AUUGAACGCUGGCGGCAUGCCUAACACAUGCAAGUCGAACGAGUGGCGGACGGGUGAGUAAUGUCUGGGAACCUGCCUGAUUGAUGGGGAUAACUACUGGAAACGGUUGCUAAUACCGCAUACCAUCGGAUGUGCCCCUAUGGGCUUAGCUAGUUGGUGGGGUAAUGGAUCCCCGAGGCGCCGAUCCCUAGCUGGUCUGCGAGGAUGACCAGCCACACUGGAACAGAGAAACGGCCAAGAGUCCGACGGGAGGCAGCAGUGGGGAAUAUGGGAAAAUGGGAGCAAGCCUGAUGCAGCCAUGCCGCGUGUGUGAAGAAGGCCUUCGGGUUGUAAAGUACUUUCAGCGAGGAGGCGGUACUCGAAGAAGAAGCACCGGCUAACUACGUGCCAGCAGCCGCGGUAAUAC
RNAcentral lists this ribosomal RNA (406 nucleotides) under uncultured bacterium. RNAcentral describes it as "partial 16S ribosomal RNA". It matches the Rfam family "Bacterial small subunit ribosomal RNA", at positions 30 to 526 of the family's 1533-position model. The record is from RNAcentral.